This 423-nucleotide long non-coding RNA is filed under the name Carica papaya (papaya). Its description in RNAcentral is "long non-coding RNA (CPAP_LNC016158)". The record is from RNAcentral. Lineage: Eukaryota; Viridiplantae; Streptophyta; Magnoliopsida; Brassicales; Caricaceae.
UAUGUAUUUCGUCUUGAAUUUCUGGGGCCGUUACAAUUGGUAUCAGAGCUGCGUUCCUCGCACCCGUCCCUUACACAAUAAUACUUAGAGAAGCACCAAACCAAUGAAUCAUUACUCAACCCUUCAUUGUGAAAUACAGGUACAGAGAGAUGAGAAGAAGAAGACCCCCACUAAACCGAGUAGCCCAGGAUGGUUCACGUCGGGAAGACGUUGACAAGAUAUUUGAGAUGUUGGAGAGACUCAUUACUGCCCAACAGGGUCGAGAGGAGAGGAGGGAGCUACCUGACCCUCCCCCCUGCCACAAGUUGAGCCACCACUACAGCGAGAGGAUCCCGAGCCACCCCGGUACGACCUUGCUCAUCUACAGUACCACCUGGCACCACUGCAAUAUAAUUCAGUGCCCUAACCAUAGUAUUGCCUGGC